UCCGGCGAAUUCGGUUUGACGGAGCAGAAGCAAAUGCUUCAGGUUUUGUGGAGGAGCCCGCAGAACCAGCGAAAGGCGGUCUACAUCUCGGUGGAGGAAGGACCGAGUGGAGAUGGUGAGGCACAUGCAGGCCACGUACGACACGAACACGUUUUAUUCUAGAGCGAAUCGGGUGUUGGAGAUUGACACGCCGGAAGAAGUUGAUAGAUUUUUGGGACCGUGAGGUGGAUACGGGGAUUAGGAACUUGUAUCGAGGCCGAACGGGACCGAGCGGGUUGAGAUCGUGGAGACACCAAGGACAUUUCCGCCAUCCGGUUGUUCCCUGGCCCAUCUUCUGCAGUACUGUAGCAUGGACACCCGGAUCAAGAUCGAAGAGUUUUACUACGAGCGGCGUUGCUUGCGAACCUGCUAGGGCCACCAGCAGGCCGGGCGGGGAUAAGUUCGUGUCGGGUACAUUUGCUACCUCAAGCUGUGGGACAACGAAACGGGCGACGUCGUGUCACACGUUAGCUCACGGAAGAUACCGUUUUUCAGCCCGGAUCACAGCAAGCAACACCUGCUAGUGGUGGGAACGUCCGACGUCCGAUAAGAUCAUCUGCUGGGACACCCGUCCAGGAGUACGAACGCCAUCUGGGCACGAUAAACUUAGGCGAUUAAAACCAGCGCUUCGUGACGACCUUCGACGACAAAAGCUAGUGCGUCUUGGAGUGGAAAACUCCAGUGAACAUGACGGUGUACAUCGCCGAUCCAAGGAUGCAAUCGAUCCCCGCAGUCACCCUUUCCCCUAACGGCAAGUGACUCGCCUGCCAGAGCAUGCACAACAAGGUAGUGAUCUUCAGCGCAAUUAACUUACACCGGCUACAUGGAUUCCAGUCGUGCGUGUAAUUUGGACAUUUUCUUCGACAGGAGAAACCUUGUACCAGCGAUGGCGACGGCUGAGUCUACAUCUGUUUCACGGCCUUUACGAGCAGCUGAGUGUCACACUAACAGUAUCGCCACGCGCUGAUUCUCGAGUUUCUCCUGCUCCUCGCGAAUACGAAUGGUCUCGCAGGUGCAUUCAAUGGAGGUCCGCUGUUGAAUCUGGACCACCGCGGGGACAGCACCAACAGUUUGCCGGCACCGGUGCCUAUGCUGACGGAGUUCUACAAGGAAGAGCAACUCCAAGCUGAGCAUUCCCGUCUGGCCUCAUCGGAGGGACUUUUCCAUGCAGUAAAGUGACCGGUUACGAUUGGUUCAACCUGAUGCGCAAAAAGACACAAUUACGAUGGCCUGCAAAGUGCUGCUUCUGUUCCGUCUGCGUCAUAUCAACAACCACCAUCCUCAAGCUGAACAUGGCCACCAAGAAAAUGAUGCGCAUCGCCGGUCCGUACUUCACUUACAGCUACUUUUCGCUCAUUUCGAUCCGCAACCUGAUCUACAAGCGUGGAUUCGUCAAGCACCGACAUUGCUGCAUCACAAUCACGGACAGGAUCGAGCGCAAAACACCGUCAACCAGCUGGGCAGCAUUCAGAGAGAGAGAUCAACGGUUCAACUGCAGCAUUCAGCAAGGGCGGCAACUUCAAGUUGGACGUUCCCAAGCACUGCAGGGCACUGGUCCCGCGCAAGAAAAUGCCCCACCCCGCGGCAUGUACAGUUUGUGUGGAAAAGUUUUCUGGUUACCGUAGAACAUCAACUUCCGUUUACGAUUCCGCCCGAUCCCGUCGCUUCUGAUCAACCACGGUCCCGAUCUUGCCUGUUUUCUUAUCGAAUUAAAUUGAUGUUAAAUUGAAUGAAUUUAUUGAAAAGAUUUUUUUUAA
Molecule: long non-coding RNA, 1796 nt
Organism: Culex pipiens pallens (northern house mosquito)
Lineage: Eukaryota; Metazoa; Arthropoda; Insecta; Diptera; Culicidae
Exons: 3
Source: RefSeq, a predicted model, not a curated record